UCAACAUUUUUUUAAACAUUAAUAACACUUUUAUUGUUCAUUGAUGGGAAGAAUCCUCUGCACCUGAUGACCGUAGGGGGAUUGAGUAAGAUGGUGAAACAUCACAGCUGUAAGUGGUAGCAUUUUAUCUAAAAUCAAUAUACAGUGCAAACAGGAAGUUACCCAAAGCACCCAAGCCACCAUUUGCAGUA
Molecule: long non-coding RNA, 191 nt
Organism: Amblyraja radiata (thorny skate)
Lineage: Eukaryota; Metazoa; Chordata; Chondrichthyes; Rajiformes; Rajidae
Exons: 3
Source: RefSeq, a predicted model, not a curated record